RNAcentral lists this ribosomal RNA (399 nucleotides) under Cryomonadida sp. RNAcentral's name for it is "partial small subunit ribosomal RNA". It matches the Rfam family "Eukaryotic small subunit ribosomal RNA", at positions 582 to 975 of the family's 1831-position model. The record is from RNAcentral. Lineage: Eukaryota; Cercozoa; Thecofilosea; Cryomonadida.
AUUCCAGCUCCAAGAGCGUAUAUUAAAGUUGUUGCAGUUAAAAAGCUCGUAGUUGGAUUUCUGGUCUAAUGCGCCUGGCCCGCUGCCGUUAGGUAUGUGAGUGCCGGUGCGCGUUUACCAUCCUUCCAGAGAACACUUCUACCAUUUAUUUGGACGGAUGUUGUCUUCUGGAUCUUUUACUUUGAAAAAAUUAGAGUGUUUAAAGCAGGCCUUUGCUGUGAAUACAUUAGCAUGGAAUAAUAAUUUAGGACUUGGUAUCCUAUUUUGUUGGUUUUCAGGAUCUAAGUAAUGAUUGAUAGGGAUAGUUGGGGGAGCUAGUAUUUUGCGGCCAGAGGUGAAAUUCUGUGAUUCGCGAAAGACUAACUUACGCGAAAGCAUUCACCAAGGAUGUCUUCAUUA